CCCCAUCCAUUCCUUCUUGGUUCGACCAUCGGGCUCCUCAAGCGCUUCCGUUCCUCCUCAUGUCCCACCCCACCCUGGCCCCGUUUCUCCGUUCCUCCGGGAGCCGCCUCCUCGUUCGUGUGCCCAGUCCGUCGCCGGCGGUGGGCGAUGGUGGCGGAAGGAGAUAAUGAGGUCCUAAAAAGAGCUUAUUGUUCUGCCCACACUGAUCUCUCUGUUGGACGUACCCGUUGACGGCGGUAAAUCCAAGCGCUUCUAUUUGAUCGAUCGUCUCCAAGACACUUGGGCAUCUUCUUUCCCGAUUUGGUAUCGCCUUCUUUUGCCUUCGCUUUAUUUCAUUCGCUGCAUAAUUUAGGGUUCUAUUAGUUCUUUCUUUUCUUUUCCGAUGUCCUGCAUAAAUUAGGGUUCCUUAGUUCUCUCUCUGUUUCUUUUGUCCUUUCCUUUAUAUCCCCUCCUCGAACUAUCGUCAAGAAGCCCUACGGGCAUCGGAAUUAAGAAAUAUUUGCACUUGAUAUUUGCUUCUUGAUUUUUAUAUGAUUAGCCUGAUGUUGCUGCUUUUUUCUAAUCCUUAUCAUGGUUAUAAUUAUGUUUUCAUAUUUAAUUAUGAAAUUGCUUGGAUUAACGUGAUUCAUGUGAUACCGGAGUUAUGAUGUAAGUAUUGUUUAACUGGGCUUACAGCUUUUAUCUGAGUCAUGAUCAAAUAUCAGGGUCAUGGAUGUAGUGGAAGUACUAUUCUGUCUUACCCUGAGUCAUUUGUAUAAAGCUUAUCCUGUAAUUAUCUUGAUAUGCAGUAUCACUGCCGUCAUGAAUUAUGUCCUUUAGUUUUUUAGACUAUCUUGAAAUUCCUUUUUAUAAAUGAUCGGGCAACGCUGUGGGUUCGGAUUCUAUUUUUUGGUCGCUUGCUAGAGUUUGUGUUCCCCAAAAAUCGUGGUCCAAGUCUGUGACGGUAGCAGAACCACUUCGGGAUUCUUUCAUCUGAAAGAUUUCAAUCUUGACUGAUAAUGUCCCUUGUGUUUGCAUUAAAAACUAUUUUGGAUUACAUUUUAUCAAGUAUCAGCCUUGCAAAGGCUGGGCAUCAUGCUUGUGUCCAAUUUUUGAGACGUGUUCUUGCUGAGUCAUGCUUGUAAGCGGGUGCACCACUGAAAACAGAAGAUUCUGGCUACUAAGGGUGUAGACAAGCUGAACAUGUGCAUGACAAGGCCAGCUCUGCUCAAAAACCCUCUCGGCUGGGCUUGAGCUCAAUACGAGCUGGCAAGAGCCAGCUCAAGUUGAGCUCUAUUAAUCUCGAGUUGGCUUGAGCAUGGCUUGAUUAAACUCGAUAUUGUGAAAGAAAGAGGCAAGGGAAUUUGCAGAAGAAUUGAAAGAUCCGUGACAUCAAUCUUGGUGUUGGAAAUGAGCCGUUAGGCAGUUGAGAAGAAAAUUGGAGGUGGUAAUAGGGGCAACAAAGUAGCCAUCUUAAUUGGCCAUUGAAAAGGCGGUGAAGUUGAAUCUUGGAUCUAGGUCCACCUCCUUAAUUCAAGAACAUGAGGAGGCGGUAGGUGAGGGAAGUCACUCAAGAGCAAAGAGUUGCGAGAGUUAGGACUAGCAAGUUGGUACCUUUGACUCCUGAAGUUGUGUGAAAACAAUUGCAUCCGUUAGAUGCAAUCUAAGGAUUGAGGUUUAUUUUACAUAUUGCAGGUAAAAUUUAUUUUCACAUACAAAAUUCUAGGGCACUGCAUAAAUCUCACACAAAAAUUAUUGAUAGAGAAAGCAAUAGGGUAGCUAUAUGUUGGCCAUAUAACUUGUGCGAGAUUUUUGUUAUAUGCUAUUGUAGAAUACAAAUGGUAAAAAUCGAACCAAUUGUUCUUAUAAAUAUAUCUCUAUUAUAUUUCAGUAUUGUGGGCUAUAUCAAGACAAACACAAGGUAGCUAGGCCUUGCUUAUGUGCAGUUCAUUUAACUUCUUAUCUCAAAAUUUUGCAUAUGUUCAACAUAAUUACUGGUAGUACAAGCCAUCUCAAAUUGAAUUUCAUGCUGAACAGGAGUUGCUGACAGAAGCUUGUCCAUUUGACUUCUACUUAGGUCUAGUCAUCUCAAAUCUUAAGUCUGCAUAUAUCAAAAUCAUCAGAUUAGACCUGAAAAUAAAUUUGAUAGCUUCUAAAAAUUAACUGUGAAAAGUUUUUGUAUCACAAUUAUGGCCUCCAUUGUCUCCACCACCACUAUCAUUACCUCAGCCAUCAUUAUCAUGUUUAUGUUUGUAAAAAUAAUUGAGGAUGCUAAACAUGUUUGUAUUUAAACAAAAUUAAAAAUAAAAUAGAAACAAUUUUUUUAUGCCAAGUGACAUCUAAGUGUUUGGUGAUGUCAUUUGAGAAUUGCUUCUUGUUUUCCAAAUAUGGUAUGACCAUCCACUAAAAGAAAUAUUAUACAGGUUGUGAUUACAAAAUGCUGAAUAUACAGAAAAUAAGUUUUCUUAGGGUGAAAACUUAAAUUGAUCAAAUACUAAGAAUUUGAAUUAAUCAAGCUUUGUAGGAUGACUUGGGGAAAGGUAGAAGCAACACCAAACCCAUCCUUAGGUUGAAAGACCAAAUGAUAAUAGGUUCAAGACCUCAAGAUACGGGUUUAGAUCUAGACUAUUUUAAUUCAUUUUUGUUUUGCAUGAUAUAAGUACACAGAGAAUCAGGUAAUUAGAACCAACUGGUGUAAAGGUCAAAGUGUGCGUGGUUUAGUUUCAGCACAAACAAAACAGGUUGUACGGCAGUAAAUAUACUUGAAUAUCAGAUGCUAGAAUUUGCUAUUAACAAGAUGAAAACAUGCAAAUAACAAUUUUAUCACGUAAAUCAGAUUCCACCAUAUAUAGAAUUAGUUGCGGCAAUUAUAAAAAAAAUGCGAUAGAACUCCAGUAAAAGGCUGUUAUAGCCUAUAUUAAGUAAUACAUUGCGUACAUAAUUAAAUUUAGGAUACUGAAGGUACUUUCGUAUAUUGCAUGUCAAGCUGCUCUUUUUUCCAAUAUGACCUUAUGCUGGUUUUCAUUCUGCAAUGAGGAUAUCAACCUCGGUGACCAAAUCUUGUCUUUUUCAUCAAAUGCUUAUCAGCAGCUCUAUCCCAAAAAUUCCUUCUCUCAUUCGUUUUUAGUAUAAUAUGAUGCAUUCUUGUGCCCAACUAGUAACUGUGAAUUGUUGCUGAUGGAUGUCCGGAUGCCCUGAAGAUCCGAGACUGUCAAAAGUGAAGGACAUAGUCCCUACACGUUUUGCAGCAACACACUGUUUUCCAACCAAGACACAAAUACUUGAUUUGAACAAAUUGCAUCAUGAACUGGACACUGAUCUAUUAAUUGCCUGUCAUCCUUUUCAUUAGCUUGAGUCCUGUAAGGAAUUAUUUUCUUGCUGCUCCAGACUGUUGUUGAUGUUAACCAACAUUUGGCAUUCACAAAGGGCUUACCGAUCAAAUAGUUUUGUUUGUUCUGAAGCAGAUAUUUAUGAUGUUCUCACCUCGUUGUUAAAUGAACAUGUAUAAUUUUUCAUGAAUGGAUGAUGGCUAGUUAAUCUGUCAAUUCAGUUCUGAUGUCAUAAUUUGGAUAUAUGUUUCCUAGGCUCAAUCUGGUGGUAUGCUUGACUUGUAAACCCAAACGAGUUACAUGUUGAAUAGGCAUGAGCCUAGCUUAUGCCAAUAUUAGGAAGCCCAAACAGCAUAUGAAAAAGGACUUUCUGUCACUCUCCACGUCCAGCCAAUUAAAGGAUCCAUAUGGGUGUAUAUUUAGUCUGACAUUAGCUAUACAGUAGAGAGAAUCUUAGGUAUUUAUACAGAGAGAUAAAUUACAAUGUGGUCGAUUGGAAUUAGAGUCAAAUCCGAUCGAGUUUCUCAUCAUCUGUUAUCCUUCUAAUCUGUAUGGAUCUUCAUACAGCAAAAUAAAAGCUAAUAUCACUUUUCCAGUCAUUUGGUAUUUUUUUUUUUUGAAAAAAAGAUCAUUAAUAUAGAUGGGAUGAGGGUGGGGUCAAGUUUGUGUUUAUUUUAUCGCUACAAAAUUUAUGUUUAUUCUGUUUUUGUUUAUUAUGGAUUAAUUUUUGUUUAUUGUGUUUAUUUUGAAUGAAUUUAUAUUUAUUUUGAAUAGGUUUAUAUUUAUUUUGAAUGGAUUUGUGUUUAUUGUAUCUGAAGCUUGCGCUUAUCCUAGAUAGUUGGUGUUUAUUGCAGGAAUACAGAAAGUGGUAGGUCCUAUCUGCAUUAAUAGUCUCAGGCCACUUUCCCAUCUUCUCAUAAUAAUUACAAAUUAUAUAGGAUAAAUAUAAAUUUUGGAUACAAAUUUAUCUAGAAUAAAUAAAACAAAUUCAGAAUGAACAAA
Molecule: long non-coding RNA, 4310 nt
Filed under: Elaeis guineensis (African oil palm)
Lineage: Eukaryota; Viridiplantae; Streptophyta; Magnoliopsida; Arecales; Arecaceae
Description: long non-coding RNA (EGUI_LNC006448)
Source: RNAcentral